This is a non-coding RNA of Cinara cedri, 12969 nucleotides long. NCBI's taxonomy places the organism in Eukaryota, Metazoa, Arthropoda, Insecta, Hemiptera, Aphididae. The record is from the annotation of a GenBank genome assembly.
AGCACCCGGCGCCUAUAGUAAUGCAAGGCUGUGGCGGCGGCAGUCAAUCCGUAUCGAUACCGUAGUGCGCGACGUUCGGAAAACGAAUCACUUACGUAGUCCGUCGCGUUAUUGAAUAACUAUUAUCCUGUGUCGUAGCGUACCAAGUCAUUAUUUUCGACCGUUUCGUCAUCAUCAUUCGUAAACCGGCCAGAACCGAAUAUUGUAUUGUAAUCGUUGCAAUCGCGGACCGCGUUUAUUUAUUACCGGCAACAAGUACGUAUAACAGUAGAUUCUUAGCGUAACGACGAAUUGUUUUUGGUUUUACUAUUGUUUUUUCGGCGGUGUAAUUUUUGUUUUUUUUCUCCCCCCUCUCCCCCCCCCAGGUUCUGAACGGAGUGAGGGGUAGGUUAUCUUGGGUUUACUACGAUGUGUACGAUGUACUUUUGUGUUUUCUCUUUGUGCGUCGUCUGUAAACAACUUUUCUGCCAGAAGCAUUAUUACACCGAUCAAAACACAAGACCAAAGAACUUUUUUGUAGAAUUCCGAAUCUUGUUGUUAUAUUGAGGUGACAUUUUUUGAUUUUUCCUAUUUUUUUCACAAUUAUAAAGAAAAUAUAAGAAAGACAAACAAAAUUUACUACAAAAAGUUUCAUUUUUUUUUCCCCGAUUCAAUUUUCUACCAAAACUCUUGCUCCGAAUUUGAACAUCUUUUCUGGAAUACGAUUUUAUGCUAAACAUAAAAAAAACUUGAAAGUUUGUCGUAUUUGUCGGUUUUAUUAUUUUCGAUUUCUUUUUUUUUUUCUAAUUCGGUUAAAAAUAAAUGUAUAAAAUUGCACAGACUAACUACAUUAGUCAUUUCUAAAUGUGGUAACAUUUUUAAAACAACCUUUCUGCGAUUUGUGAUUUAUAAAUAAGUAUUUGAAAUUUUCAAUUUUUUUUUAGUUUUUAUUUGUUCAUUUGUUCUGACCCAGUAGAAAUACUUGACAGUUUUACACGAGAUUCAUUAAAAGUUAUAUUUAGUGGUCAAAAAAAAAUUAAGCGUAAUUUAGUACUUAGUGUUUUUUGUAAAUAAAUUUGAAUUUUGAAAAAAAAAUCUUAAAAAUCAAGACAUUCCAAAACUGGUUUAAAGAAGAAUUGCUCAAAUUUUCAUUUUUUCAUCUACGAUUUAUCGUUGCGUAAAAGUAUAAAUUAUAUAACUCUAUGUAACUUCUCAGUUUUUCAGUUUCCAUCUAAAAUUGUAGCACAAAAUAGUUGACAGUAUUUUUAUUAUUAUUAUUAUUUUUUUUUUUAAUAACUUAACAUAAACUAGUUUAAAAAAUUAGUAAACACAUCUAGUUUUCCGAAAAUCUGAUGCUAAUAUUGUAGGGAAAUGUAAAUCCGUUAAUUUAUAUAGUAAAUUUGCUGUAUAGUUUUGUUUUUAAAAUUCGUAAUAAGAGUGGAUCCACUAAAGAAGUAUAUAAAUCGAUUCGUUUUGCGAAUAAAUCUCGCAGUGAAUAUUACUGACUUACUGGUAUUUACAAAAUAUAUAUUUAGAUACCGAACAAAGCGUGUUAGAUUUCGAUUGAAAAAUAAUCCGUACAAAAAAUGAAUGGUCUGCGUGCACUUAAACAUACUAUUAAUAUUUCGAACUCUGGAUAUACGAUAAAAAAAAAUCGCGUGGAAUUAUUAAAAUAUUUUGCCCCCCUCCCCACUAUAAAUCUCUAAAUUCGUAACUCGUAUUAUGCACAUUACGGUGAAUAUUUUCGAAAUAAAUGAAAUCGCGCGAAUAUUUUCAGAGUAUAAAGUAGGUGGGUAUAAACUGUUCGAACAAAACAAAUGCAAUAAAACUAAAUAUUCGAAACAAAUCGAAAUUUUCGCUCCUUUUCUUGUUUAUACCAAAAUUCGAAUAUCGUAUCAUAUUGCCAUAGUUAAACCAGGUCAUUAAUUAUUUACUUUUUUAUGAAAAAAAAAAAAAAAAUCGAUUUUGGUAAAAAUUGUCUGUUUGCAAUUAUAAUUUUAUAAGUAACUACACGAAAUAAACUAUAACCUGAACAGGCUCAAUUAGAAAACUUGUUAGGUAUUUUAAAAUUUAAAUCGAAAUGAUAUAUACCUUAAUCAUUAUGAUUAUAUCAUAUUAUGAUAAAACAUAGUCUACUUAGAGUAUAGUUAUUAUCUUGGUUUAGAAUUUUGAUGCAAUCUGAUAAAUCCAACACAAUAAAAUGUACAAACGCCAUCGGCAAAUGAGCGCCUGAAAAAAAGUAAUGAUGCAGCUGUCAAAUCCAAAAAAAAAGACCUGAUACUGCUGAUAUAGGUGCGCCACUGUUGUAGAUGGAUAGUUGGAAAGGUAGAAUACAUACAAUUAUAUAAUUUAUAUCUGUAAGCGAUGAUAAACCGUUACUGACAGAAAACGAUUAUGUUCUUUUAUUCGUGAUUUGAAAGGCCGUAAUAUUUACGAUUUUCAUCGAAAUUCGAUCUUAAAACCGUUAUAAAAAAAAAAUUAAUUACAUUGCACACUUCUUUUUUUACCACUAAAUACAACUUAGGUCCAGUUUUUCGCAAAUAUUAUGAAAACCUAUCGAAAAUGUUCUUUUCAAUGUAUCAACUAAAUCCAAAAUUCAAUAAAAAAAAGUUCUCUUGUCGAUUAGAGCACAUUGUCUGUUCGAAAAAUUGCUUACAGACGGAAUAAAAAUACUCGUCGUAGUAAAACUAACAAACCAUUCGCUCAGCUCCGAGUCUAAAAAUUAUCAAAACUCUUUGUAUUACUCCUGAACAAUUUCAAAAAGAGGAGUUAAAUGGUUUUUGUUCUGAGGUCUUCAAUAAGUUAUUGAUUUUUUCGUAGAUUUUUCUAACUAUUCGUAUAAUGACGUUUGUUCUGUAAUAAAUAUGUAUCGUUGUUCUUAAGCUAUAUUUAAUAUGAAUAAAAUUAUUGACUAUCAAUAUUUUUAAAAAUAUUUACACAUUUUUAUUUCGGCUAAAAACGCUUUAACAAAAAUAUAAAAUACAAAACCACAAAAGCUAUUUUUUUUUCUGCGUAAACUGCACCACGGUCGUGUCUGAAAACAAAUAUUUGAAUGUGUAGGUAUUCAGUUUUUGUACUUAACUAAUGGUUAAUCUUAAUCUUGAACACACAUCCAUUAAAAAUUUACUAUAGAAUAAGUAUAAUUAACAAUAUGUUCGACACAUAGAUAAUUUUCUCUUCGAUAAUUCAAUAUAAAUAUUAUAAAAUUAUGUAAUUAUUACGAGCAAUAUAAAAUUGUAAUAUCACUUGAAUAAUAGGCAUUUAUUACUUUCUACAAUUUAUUUUUUCAAUUUUUAGAACCCACAUAAAAUAAUAACAAUAAAAAAUGUUGGAUAUUUUUGCAAUUUACUGUGAUAUCAUCUUUAUGAUAAUAAUUGUAUUGUUAUAUAUGGUAUCUGGUCAAAAAAGUGAAAAAAAACAACGAAAAUCAAAUUGGCAAAACAAAAACAAAGUAAAACAACAAUCAUGGGAAGGAAAAUACUAUUAAUAAAGUAAAAAAAAAAUAAUGUCAAACCGACAAACUGAGCCGCAUCAUCCUUCUUACAAAAAAACAAAACAAAAACGUGCCCCAAUAAUGCAAUGAUAUCGUAACAUUUGCCAAACUUUUUGUCAAUCUAUUUUUUUCUCUUCUUCUCUAUCCCUCUAUACACGAAAUCGAAAAAAAAAUGUAUAUAAGUUAGAACGAACAAAUUAAAUAAUAUAAAUUUUAAAGUUUUUAACAACUUUUUUGCUCCGGUAAUAAUUUCAAUAUUUAAUUACAAAAUUGUAUUUUUAAUUCAUAUUAAUUUGUUUUUCUUUUAUUAUAGUUUCUUUUCUACGAUUUUUUUUUUUUUUGUGUUCGCCAAUUCGGUUUUUGCUAAUGGUUUCCUGCUGUUCAUACGCGUAUACGAUACAAACACCUUAAUGUAAUUUAUUCGUUGAACAUAUCAUAACUCAGCAGUUAUCUCUUAUGAUUAAUAAUAUUAGUCGAACAGUAUCUAUUACAGAUGUUAAGUGUCAUUUUAAAAUGAAACAAAACGAUUAGUUUAAAUUAACGCCACGUCGUCGUAAUAUAUCAUAUAACAUUCAGUAUCCUCUUCUUCGGUACGUUUGUCAAGUACCGUUAUUUCGAAAUUAAAUUACUAAUGAGCGAACAUUUAUUUUAGAUUAAUGUCAAAUAUGAUUGGGAUUAAGAACCUAACGCUAAAAUAAUAAUAUCGUUUAAAAAAUAAUAAUAAUAAUCGUCUUUUAUAGAUUGAAUGAAAAUUAAUAAUUCCAUUAACUUACGAAGACGGUGAAAAACAAUAAUACUUAGGUUCCGUUAAUGUUGACAUUUAAUUUAUUUGGAUGAUUUUUAUUUUAUUAUCCUUUUUUAUUUUUUGCGCUUAAUACUUAUAAUGCGAAGACUUUAGAUUGUCUUGCCCACAAAGCAUUUGAUGAUUAAUGCGGACAUAUUCCGAACCCGCACCACUAUACCCCGUUUUAAUCUUACCUCCGGAAUUACUGCUGCGGGCAUUAAGAUUAUAACAACUUGAAUAACUCAGUGUUAUGCGCAAAGCCAUUAAAGAGGCCAAAGAGCGAAAUAAUAGAAUAAUAUUGUUAUUUGUUAAACGGUUCGACCUUUUGGUCACAGUUAUGGUAUUAUUAUUAUUAUUAUUAUGAUUGUGCUUAAUUCAGCCUAUUCGCGAAGUUUAUUUAUCUUCUUGUCUGCGUUUUGAAUUUUUACUUAGUAUAUACUAUCAUUAUUAUUAUAAUCGUAGUUAUUAUCACGAAAGUUUAAAAAUCACCUAUUUAAAUAAUUAUCAUAGUUAUCAAAAGAGAUUUAGAGGCCAUUAAGGUGAAACAAACUCCUAGACGUAUUACAAAUCUUUCUAUGCUGAGUUUAGUAUACUUCACUAAAAUUUUGUCUAUUAAUUCUUUCUCGUUUCUAUCAAUACACAUCUGAUUUGACCUCUUCCCCCGGAUAAAAAUAAUCAACAUGUCUUGUGAUAAUUAUUUUAAAUGUACAAUAAAAUAUCUAUAUCUUAAUAGAAAUUAUGAUGAUCAAGUAAUAUGCGAAAACAAUUAUAAUAAUACAUGGUUUCAAUGAAAAAUUAACGUAAUUUUUUUUCAAUUUUCAAUUUAGUAUAAUAUAAGAGCCCGAAUUCCAACGCAGUGCAAUUUUUUAUCAUCAAAAACUAUGUUUUAUAAGUACAUAAUUCGUUUUAGAUACUCCAAAAUUGAAACAUUUAUUUGGAAUUUAUUUUCACAAAUUAUUCUGAUUUCCUCUACUACCGGUAAUUUUAUUAGUUUUAAGUCCAUAUUUUGAACAUUAUACGAAUUAAUGGAUUAAAUGCAGGUACCACAUUCAAAUUAUUAUUUCAAGAAAUUUUGUAUUCAUAAAAUUUGCUUUGACAGUGUUUAGGAACUAAGGUAUACUUUAUCAAUACAGAUUGUCAAUCGUUCUAUUUAUGAUGUUUAUGGCAUCUUUAUAUCUUAUAUUUAUUAAUGGCCGUUGAACAUAGUAUGUCACUCAGACUCAAACAAACCACAACUAAGAAAUUUAAACUUAAACUUUACAUACUUCACCUUUUUCGAAUUAUUUAUCAUAUUUAUCAUAUUAGGGAAUUUAAAUCUGGGCCCUAAUAAUAAUUGAAUUCGUUCAAAUACAGAAUUACGUUCAUUUGGUAUAAUGUAUGCCAUCAGGAUGGAAAUUUAUACGAGUAUAUAGGUAUCUAGGUAGGUAUAAACACCGGAAGAUAUUUAAUUAUGAAACGAUAAUCGAUGAAUGUAUUGAACGCUCGAGUGCGUCGUUUAUUAAAUAUUGAAAAGUUACACGACUACGUAUAUGCUUUUUUUUUUUUUGUAGAACAGUUGAGAGUGAAAUUUACUGCUCUAAAAGUCUAAAUAAUAUAUAUAUAUAUAUAUAUAUAAGGUACCUACUUGUAUGUGACCGGGCGGGGGAAGAAAGAAAAAAAUGAAACGAAAAGGUUGCUACAUGAUAUGUAAUCGUAUAACGUUUUAAAACUUACUUGAUACAAAAUACAAAUACAAGGCGGGGCAGUGAAACGAGUGAUUUUAAAACAACCAUAAAAUACCAACAAGUUAUUUUUUAACAAAUUUAUUUAUACCAUUUUAAGUGUGUAAAAUAGCAACGAAAAGUUGUUAAAUUUUUAUUAAUGAUAUCCGAAAUAUAAUGUCUACCUUAAAGCAAUAAUGAUCUCUGAAAAGUGAAAACUAAACGUGACAUUUCGCAGCGUUUUCUGAGGGAUUUUCGUAUGCAUUGUUUGAGAUCGUUAAAUGUUCUCGCCAUUUUUUAGUAUACCUACUCUACUCCUAAGAUACCUCCUCAGAAAAAUAAUCACCAUCCGUUAAAUCCAUUAAAUCAGCCUAUGGAAUAUCCCCAUUUAGAAAAAUUUAAUCCGUACGGAGACAAAUUUUUCCGAAUUUUAGGUUAGUGAUUUUUUUCUGUAGUAGCAUCCUAUAACUGGAAAGUAUACCAAAGAAUACCGAAGACACUUGACGAUCUCAAACAAGGCAUCCGAGAAGAGGUGAAUUAUAUCUUUCGGUAAUUACUGCGAAAGGUCAUAUUCAGUUUUUAGAGACGCCUUUGAUAUGGACGCCUUCUUGCGAAUGUCACGUAUAAGAAUGUCUUUUUUUUUUUUUUAAAAAAAAAAGCUAAUUUACAUAAUUCAAGGUGGUAUAAAUGAAUUUGUCGAGAAAUUACUUGUUGGUCUUUUGUGGAUAUUUUUUGAUGACCCGUCCCACUACUCCAUCUCGCAUAUAUUGCCGUGUAGGUAACUACUGCCAGGCCCGACGAGAGAAGGACGGCGAUUGAGGGUGAAUCACUCCAGGCCCGGGAUUUUCGUGGAGCUCGGUGUGUGAACUGAAAAAGCAAAGAAAAAUAAGUGUUUACGGAAUUCGACAAAUCCCGGCCCCCAUUAGUAUCCCGUAAAACCCUAGUGAAAAACAAUUGCAUUAAUAAAUUACCGUGGCUUGUUGUCUUACACCGCGUACAUAGCACGACGGGAGUUUCAAAUAAAUAAUAGUGUAAAGUAGAUACCCAUGGGCUAUGUUUAUAACACGUGCGACACAAUCGUGUCCGUAGGUUUCGUAGCAUCGCGUAAUGUGUUUAAAAUAAUAAUUCCAAUAGUUAUCUUUAGGUCGUAGACUCGUAGAUCGGGUAAAUAAGACGAAAAACGUCGCAGGACGGUGCUGUACGUUGGACGUGUUUUAUGUUUUGUAUGUUUUUUUUUUUUUAUUUUUUCGUGACUCGUAGGUAAACAAAAAUACGGUUUUACGUAAUGAUGUGUAUUAAUUUUUAAUUGGAAAUAUCGAACACUUAUGUAAAAUAUGGGAUAGCAGGGUGGGCCUGUAUGUAACCUAACCCGCGGACCCAAAUUUUCUCUCCGCGGCCUUGGCUACUGCCGCUCAAUAAAUAAAAUACAAUACAAUAUUUUCUGCACCGCGUAUACGAUGGGAUCCGCGUGGAAAAUGUCACUGUCACGCGGUUGCGAUACCGCGGUUUGACCGGUGCCGUUUCAUUGCUCGACAUUUCAAAUAUACGUAUAUGUGUUAUGAAUAAUAUUAUGUGUAUGCCGGCUUACAGCUGUAGCACGGAUAUUGAAGACAGCUAAGGAAAUUCGAUAUCGUGGUGUAUAAUCUAUACGUACACACUUUUCACGACGAGGAAAAUGAAUAGUAAAUAAGUCGAGUUUACGUAGCCAUAGAUUACGUGUACACUGUAUAUAAUAUACAUAUAUAUAUAUAUAUAUAUAUAUAUAGAGAGAGAGAACUGAAAAAAUGAAAAAUAAAGUACAACGGAAUAGAAAAAAAAAAACCAACCCUCCCGGAGUCUCGUCGUAAAUCAUUGGCGAUAGCGAAUUUCGAUACGGCGCGAAAAAAAAAUACGAAAUCGUACAAUCUCAUUUUUUUUUUUUCUUCUUUAUAAUAUAUAGUCGGUAUCUUCCGCGAAAAUGAAUUCGUGUACUUAUUGCGACACGGGUGUACGGACGUAUAAGUCGCCGUCCUGGCUUAAUGACGUCGCAUAAUACUUUUUCGAUACACCGUCAACGUAGUGGGACAUUGUAAAUUAUAAUACAGGGUCUUCCAAACGUUACGCCGUGACGGCAAUGCUUUUCACUGUGAAAUAUUUCGUUAUUUUCAAAUACACAUUUCUUCCUCGAUCACUUUUUUGUCGAAUUUCCCUCGAAAAUACCCCGAGACUACUGAACUAUAAAUGUUCGUGUCUGUUACAAUAUACACACACACACAUAUCUUUUUCCCGUUCCGAUUUAUAAAAGCUCUACCGGAUCAUAUGAGCUCGAACUCGGGAAUUGUAGAAAUAUUUCAUAUGUAGAUUGAAUUGACAAAAUAUUGGUUGAAUUUCAAUAUCAAUUUCACUAUAUUGUUGAGGGAGGAGGUUGUUUGUUUUUUUUUUUUAGCAUUAUACGCCCUUACAGCCCCUCAAAUAAAAUAGUAUACAAAAUUGAACUCGCGAUUGUGUAAAAUUAGUUAAAAAUAGAUUCAAAUCAUUUUUGCAGAUAUAUUCAAAGUUACUGGCAGGUAAUAGAAUCUCGAUGGUCGUUCGUUUCAGACGAUCCGAAUUAGUAGAAAUAAAUAUUUGGAGACUAUUUUAUUACAAGCUUAAAAGCUUCUCAUAAUAGUAUCAUAGCAUUUUAAAUCUCCUACUUACCUAAUUCGCAAACAGUCAUCGAGCCAAUAUCGAAUCAUAAUGCCGGUAAAAUUGCCAAGGUCCUCUUGGAUAACGACUGUUCACCAAAAGAACAAAAUCGUAUCUAAUAAAAUAUAUACGAGUAGACGAUUUUAAACACACCUUAGUAAAACGAGUAGUUUCUUUGCUACACGCUCUGAAUCUAAAAUGCGUGUGAUAUUUAUAAAUAUUUGAAAUCUGAAGGUAUAUAUUUUAAUUUUUAAAAGAGCUAAUAAUUCUGAUUAGUGUGGCACUAAUUUAGGUGGAAAAUUGGAAAAAUAAAAUAUAUAAAGUUAUUUUUAUUUUUUAUAUGUGAGCAACGAUAAACCAUUGCUAAAACGAUUCUAAGCGAAAUUCGUUUAUACGUAAUUUGAAAGGUCGUAAUAUUUAACAUUUUCAUCAAAAUUUGAUCUUGAAAUCAUUGUUUUAAAAAUUGUAAAACGUCUAAAAAGGCAAAUGGUAGUUUUCUAUUAAUGUGUUAUUUACAUAAUAUGCCAAAGUACCACGCACAAUAUGUUUAACUGAAUUACAACGAAAAAAAUCAAAUUUAAAAUAAUGAAACCAUUAUUUCCGUAAACUAUCCCGUUUUUUCCGGUUUUACUCAAUUAUAAAAACUGUUUGGAAAAUAAAAAACCGAUUUUUUACUCACCAACCGCAUUAAAAAUCCAAUAAAAUAGGUCUCUUGUCGUUUUUAUAUUGGAACAACAUUUCUGGCAGCAAAAAUAAAACCUACAGAUUUAUAACAGCGUAUAUAUUCUAAGGCGCUGUUGAAAAUAAUUUUUCACGUCGUUGAAAAAUGAUGUGUUAGGUACGGCGGAGUAUGAUAAAUAAUUUACUAAUAUAUAAAUAAAUAAUAAUAUGAAUAAAAAUUCCAUAUCUACGACAUGGGCCUGUAAACUAGUGAUAGGAAUAGUAGUAGUUUAUUUUGACAAACUAAUUCAGUAAUUCGUCGUUCAUGAAAUGGACCUUUUAAAUGAUUCGCUGAAUAUCGUACGUCUAUAUUGAUCACUAAACAAACUACACCACGGUACCGUGGCCUAUCCCGCUGAAUCACGACCCAGGAAAGGUUUUUUAUGAUAAAACGAUUCAUUUGAUUCAUUAAUGAACGGCGUUCAAUUUGUUCGUGAGUUAUUAUUGAAUCGUUAUUUUAGGUGAAUCGUUCGUUCGCAAACUAUAAUACAACUCUAUUGUAAAUGCAUACCACGUGGAUUUAAAUUAAAUCAUUCAAUAGCCUUUUUUAAAUUGUUUUUUUAAGGCUCUUCGGGUCGUUGUUUAUCAGUGGGUGUAUAAAAGUAUUUUUGGAUUUCCCGUUGUCGUUUGUGUUUUUUUUAUAGUAGUCUUUCUCCGACGUAAAUACGAAAUGUGAUUAAAAAUUAAAAUAGCCGAUUCGUCAAUCGCUUUAAAGAUUACGUUUAUUUAUUUAUUAACCGUUGACCCAAACGUACAAUGGAGUUUAGUCGCAAGUACAUAUUUAUCGCAUUAGAAUAAUAUUUGUUAAUUUACACAUUUUGAUUUGAUUAUUAUCUGCCCAUGGCCGUAGGUAAAUUAAAAGCUUGCGGAAGAGCUAAAUAAUAAAUUGUUAUAUUGUAUUUUAGUUAAACAUUAAUUAAAAAUAAAUUAUUUGAUUAUCAUAAAUUAUCCUGUUAACAAUUUUAAAUUUACAUUUUCCCUAUGAAUGGUUCUUAUGCGCAUUUUCACAUUUGCUCCAAAAUGUACGACGGAAUCGGGACAAACUUAAAUAAUACAAUAAUACACGGUAAUAAAUGUAUGAGGCAAAUUGAAAUGCAACAGAAUAACAGUUUAUUAUGGUAAAAUAAAUGUAUACUUUAUUAUUUUUCUAUUUUUCAAAUUAAACAAUUUUUAUAAUUAUACAUUAAUUUGCUCUUUAAUCUAUGUUCGCACAUCAGUAUUUUGUGUCCCGUAUUAGAAAUUAUCUGCUUAAAUUCACCUACCUAUAAUAUUAAAAUAACAAAUACAAAACACUGCGACAAAUGAACGCAGUAAGUACAUACAUCAGUUUUCUGUGUCCCAUUUUAUAAAUUACUAAUUUUUUAUUUUUUCUUUAUGCAUAAAGUAGGCAAUUAUCAUUUUUGAAUUGCCCAAUUACCAAUAUUUACAUAUUAUAUAGUAUUUUACAAUGAUUUUAUAGUUUAAAUAUUUUGUUACUUAUUAUUUAUAAUUAUUAAGUACAUAAGUUAGGUUAGAUGCAAAUACCAAUUAAAACUUUGGACUUAAUGUGUCUUAUAAAAAUUACUUUACAUAAUUAUGUAUUUUUAUUAUCAUAUGUCAUUAUACCAUAUAAUAUAUUGCAACAUUUUGGUUUUUUUUAAAAACUGCGUUGUUGACAAAAAUUGUUAAAUUAUACCCGGAUUGAAAAUAAUGAAAUUGUCCGUCGUAAAUUUGUUCGUAUUCAUUUUUCGUCUUUUAUCUGGUUCUCCCUAUUGUCAUGAAAACCUUUUGGAAAAUCAAUAAGUUAUCGAAUUAAAACUAGAUACAAAAUUCGUUAAAAAACUACUGUUUGAAAAGUCGUUUACAGACAUAAAUAAAACACUCGUCAUAGUAAAACCAACAGAUCUCUCGUUCCGCUCUGAAUUUAAAAUGAGGACUUUUAAUAUUAUUAAAAUAAUUUUAUUCGCGUAGCCACUACUGUUAAUUGUUGUAAUAACGCAUUAGGUAUUAGUGUGUUAUUGUAAUAUUGAACGAACUACUGAUAACGUUUGAAUAUUUAUUUUAAUAAUGUUUUGUUUUUUUUUCAUUUGCGUAAAAUUUGGAAAUUUAACUUUUUUUAAUUAAACGGGUUCCUAUUUAAUUUCCCCUUUUUAAUUAAAUAGCAACUGAAAAUAUGAUAAAUAUCAAAUUCGUUUUACGAAUAUAAAAUCCCGAUUACAAAAAGUUUUCGCGUAUCUACAAUUUGGAAGACUCUGUAUAUUAUACGUAGUCACGUAGAUAAAGCUGUUUGUAUACAGAGUGCUUAUUAAAUCGAGUGCUAUUAGCAUUAUUACGAUCGUUUUAUUACCCGACCCUAUUCCUGCGGUCUAAAUUCUCAACUGUUAUAAUACAACGUUACAAUAACCGUCAUAACGGCAAAUCCAAUACAAGUCCUAUGCAUACCAAUAGGUAUGUAAAAUAUUCGUUUUUUCGAAUUCGCGUCGGAAAAACGGCUGGGAGGUCGCCGUUUAAAAACGAAAAGUAAAUACGCUCAUUCUCGGUAUACGGAAUGCGCAGGUAGGGGUAAACGUUUGAAAAAAUCGUUAUCAAGCUCAAACGCAGUGUGUCGCGUACGAAGAUUGACAGAAAACGAAAAAAAAAAAAAAAAAAAACUGUUGGCUUUACUUUAAUAUUAAGUUUAAGUUUCCUUCGGGGAAAAUCGGCGAAAAAGAAUCGCUCUGUAUAUAAUAUAAUAUUUUUGUAUUACACUAUCCAAAUGCAAUAAUAAUUUUUAAUAUACGGUACGCGUGGUGUGUGUAUAUAUAUUGUACAUUAUAAUAUAUUCGGUAUCGCGUAUACGGCACUCGGUAUUGUGUGUAUAUGUAAGCGCGCGCACCCGCCGUCCCGCCCGCCCGCCCGCCGAACAGCCGCCCCGUGUCGUGUGUAUCUUUAUAUUACACGGGGCUAGCGACAGCGACGGCGACAGUGGCGGCCGGUGUAUAUAGGUGUAAAACAUCCGGGCGCGGUGCGGCGGUGUUGCCGCGCGGUUCGACGGGUGGUCGCCGCGCGGGAGGUGGCGGCGUCCGUCGGCGGUGCGGCAGGGGAGCGGUGCAGGGGUCAGUGGCGGCUGCGGCGGCGGCGGCGGCGUGGGUGUUUGUGCGCCACUGUAUUGGCCGCCGCCGCGGCCGCCGCACACACACUCGUUCGCCGCGCGGGCUCGCAAACGCACACGCCAGAGUACAUAAUAAAACAGCACGACUGUCGCGCGCGCGUUUUCGUUUUUGAUAAUAAUCGAUAUCGCGGCGCGUACACCGGGUGUGCUCUAUGGCGGCGCGGAGCGGCGAGCGGAGUAGUCGGUCGGCGAUGGGCGGGCCGGGAGUUCGCGCCGGUGACGUAAUAACAUGCGUGUGCGUUUCUGCGUGUGUGUGUGUGCACGCGAGCGCGCCGGCCGCUCGAACUUAAUAUCGCGUUCGAUGCGCGUGCGCGCUCGUGCCGCGCUUGUAUGAAUGCGUGUGUGCGCGCGGCCCGCGCGUGUGCGUGUGUGUGCGUGCGUGUUUGUGUGCGCGCGCGCGCGCGCGCCCGUGCACUAUAAUUCACGCAUGCGUUUUUCGCAGGCCCGACGGACGAAUCAUCGGCGGCGCUGGUCUGCGGUAGCGGCGGCGUCUGCGACU